RNAcentral lists this ribosomal RNA (253 nucleotides) under Faecalibacterium prausnitzii. RNAcentral describes it as "partial 16S ribosomal RNA". It matches the Rfam family "Bacterial small subunit ribosomal RNA", at positions 524 to 776 of the family's 1533-position model. The record is from RNAcentral. Lineage: Bacteria; Bacillati; Bacillota; Clostridia; Eubacteriales; Oscillospiraceae.
AACGUAGGUCACAAGCGUUGUCCGGAAUUACUGGGUGUAAAGGGAGCGCAGGCGGGAAGACAAGUUGGAAGUGAAAUCCAUGGACUCAACCCAUGAACUGCUUUCAAAACUGUUUUUCUUGAGUAGUGCAGAGGUAGGCGGAAUUCCCGGUGUAGCGGUGGAAUGCGUAGAUAUCGGGAGGAACACCAGUGGCGAAGGCGGCCUACUGGGCACCAACUGACGCUGAGGCUCGAAAGUGUGGGUAGCAAACAGG